CCUACGGGUGGCAGCAGUGGGGAAUAUUGGACAAUGGGCGAAAGCCUGAUCCAGCCAUGCCGCGUGUGUGAAGAAGGCCUUCGGGUUGUAAAGCACUUUCAGUGGGGAAGAAAGCCUUGGGGCUAAUACCCUCGAGGAAGGACAUCACCCACAGAAGAAGCACCGGCUAACUCCGUGCCAGCAGCCGCGGUAAUACGGAGGGUGCGAGCGUUAAUCGGAAUUACUGGGCGUAAAGCGCGCGUAGGCGGUCUGAUAAGCCGGUUGCGAAAGCCCCGGGCUCAACCUGGGAACGGCAUCCGGAACUGUCAGGCUAGAGUGCAGGAGAGGAAGGUAGAAUUCCCGGUGUAGCGGUGAAAUGCGUAGAGAUCGGGAGGAAUACCAGUGGCGAAGGCGGCCUUCUGGACUGACACUGACGCUGAGGUGCGAAAGCGUGGGUAGCAAACAGGAUUAGAUACCCUGGUAGUC
RNAcentral lists this ribosomal RNA (465 nucleotides) under Vreelandella stevensii. RNAcentral describes it as "partial 16S ribosomal RNA". It matches the Rfam family "Bacterial small subunit ribosomal RNA", at positions 338 to 795 of the family's 1533-position model. Lineage: Bacteria; Pseudomonadati; Pseudomonadota; Gammaproteobacteria; Oceanospirillales; Halomonadaceae. The record is from RNAcentral.